GUGGAUUAGAUACCCUGGUAGUCCACGCCGUAAACGAUGUCAACUAGAUGUAGGGGGUGUUGAUCCCUUCUGUGUCGCAGCUAACGCAUUAAGUUGACCGCCUGGGGAGUACGGUCGCAAGAUUAAAACUCAAAGGAAUUGACGGGGGCCCGCACAAGCGGUGGAGUAUGUGGUUUAAGUCGAUGCAACGCGAAGAACCUUACCUGGUCUUGACAUCCCGGGAAUCUUUAGGAAACUAGAGAGUGCCUUCAUUAGAAGGAGCCUGGAGACAGGUGCUGCAU
This 281-nucleotide ribosomal RNA is filed under the name uncultured bacterium. Its description in RNAcentral is "partial 16S ribosomal RNA". It matches the Rfam family "Bacterial small subunit ribosomal RNA", at positions 773 to 1046 of the family's 1533-position model. The record is from RNAcentral.